GGCCCUAUGGUGUAGUGGUUAUCACGUCUUCUUCACACACAGUAGGUGUCCGGUUCGCUCCCGGAUAGGGCCG
This 73-nucleotide transfer RNA is filed under the name Angiostrongylus costaricensis. It matches the Rfam family "tRNA". Rfam says of the family: Transfer RNA (tRNA) molecules are approximately 80 nucleotides in length. Their secondary structure includes four short double-helical elements and three loops (D, anti-codon, and T loops). Lineage: Eukaryota; Metazoa; Nematoda; Chromadorea; Rhabditida; Metastrongylidae. The record is from Rfam by way of RNAcentral.